GCAGCCGUGGUCUACUGGUUAGUGCCUCGGACUUGUAACCCGAGGGUUGCCGGUUCGAGCCCCGACCAGUAGGA
This 74-nucleotide transfer RNA is filed under the name Alosa alosa (allis shad). RNAcentral's name for it is "tRNA-OTHER". The record is from RNAcentral. Lineage: Eukaryota; Metazoa; Chordata; Actinopteri; Clupeiformes; Clupeidae.